CCUACGGGGGGCUGCAGUGGGGAAUAUUGGACAAUGGGGGGAACCCUGAUCCAGCCAUGCCGCGUGUGUGAAGAAGGCCCUCGGGUUGUAAAGCACUUUCAGUGAGGAAGAACGCCUGGUGGUUAAUACCCAUCAGGAAAGACAUCACUCACAGAAGAAGCACCGGCUAACUCCGUGCCAGCAGCCGCGGUAAUACGGAGGGUGCGAGCGUUAAUCGGAAUUACUGGGCGUAAAGCGCGCGUAGGUGGCUUGAUAAGCCGGUUGUGAAAGCCCCGGGCUCAACCUGGGAACGGCAUCCGGAACUGUCCAGCUAGAGUGCAGGAGAGGAAGGUAGAAUUCCCGGUGUAGCGGUGAAAUGCGUUGAGAUCGGGAGGAAUACCAGUGGCGAAGGCGGCCUUCUGGACUGACACUGACACUGAGGUGCGAAAUCGUGGGUAGCAAACAGGAUUAGAUACCCUAGUAGUC
This 465-nucleotide ribosomal RNA is filed under the name Vreelandella stevensii. RNAcentral describes it as "partial 16S ribosomal RNA". It matches the Rfam family "Bacterial small subunit ribosomal RNA", at positions 338 to 795 of the family's 1533-position model. The record is from RNAcentral. Lineage: Bacteria; Pseudomonadati; Pseudomonadota; Gammaproteobacteria; Oceanospirillales; Halomonadaceae.